Molecule: ribosomal RNA, 510 nt
Filed under: uncultured bacterium
Lineage: Bacteria
Description: bacterial SSU rRNA
Rfam family: Bacterial small subunit ribosomal RNA
Source: RNAcentral
ACACUGGCACUGGAACACGGGCCAGACUCCUACGGGAGGCAGCAGUGAGGAAUAUUGCGCAAUGGGGGCAACCCUGACGCAGCGACGCCGCGUGAGUGAGGAAGGCCUUCGGGUCGUAAAGCUCUGUCAAAGGGAAAGAAGUGCAUGGUGGUUAAUACCUGUCAUGCUUGACGGUACCCUUAAAGGAAGCACCGGCUAACUCCGUGCCAGCAGCCGCGGUAAUACGGAGGGUGCAAGCGUUGUUCGGAAUUACUGGGCGUAAAGGGCGCGUAGGCGGUUUGAUAAGUCAGAUGUGAAAGCCCACGGCUUAACCGUGGAAGUGCAUUUGAUACUGUCAGACUUGAGUACCAGAGGGGAAAGUGGAAUUCCCGGUGUAGAGGUGAAAUUCGUAGAUAUCGGGAGGAAUACCGGUGGCGAAGGCGACUUUCUGGCUGAGUACUGACGCUGAGGCGCGAAAGCGUGGGGAGCAAACAGGAUUAGAUACCCUGGUAGUCCACGCUGUAAACGAUG